UUCGAAGGCCAAUAUUUUGCAGAAAGAAGGCAGAUUCACUUGAAAUUUAGCUUUUAAUAAAUCAAUUAUUGUGUUUUUUAAUAAAUCCUAACCAUUUGAAUCAGGUAUAUGCGCGUGAAAUAAUAUAUAUUUAUUUAUUUCCAACACCACUAUAUCUGUGCAGUAGAGUUACUCCCCUUUGCGCAGAAUUAUUACAUUGUUGUUACGGUGAAUUCGGGAGCGAUCUUUUGAGCAGUUUUACGGAUAUCGGUACGAUAAACACAGUAUUUGUUUGGAAGGAAGAGAAAUCGUCUCAUCUGGUAUCGAUGCAGAGAACAUGACUGACAAAGAUCGACAGUGAUUAUGAUUGGAGUUCACAAAUACAUGAGCACAGUUACAUUGUGAUAUCGGACUCUGACGAGACACAACCACCUUCACCUUUCGUUAACAGGAAUAUUCCAGUGAAAGACCAGUUGUUCAACAGCCUUUUUUACAAACAAAUUCCUGGUGCUGCCAUUCCUAAUCAACUGACAUAUCAGAAUUCUGGAUAAGAAUUCAGAUUACUGGCUGCAUAUUCAAACGAAUUUUUGGGUCCUUCGUUUGGUGGGGGGUAACGUGUUUCAGACCAGAAUCCUGCCUGACCAUCCAAUUGCAAGGACAUCUAACAUAGCUGAAAUGUAUCUGUAAUGAAUUAUUAAAAGUUUGGAUAAAAAAUGUGUUCUUAAAUCAUUAUUUGAAACAAAUUAUACACCCAGGUUGACUUUUUUGAAAAAAAUGAUAAAUUACAAUUUUUACACAAGGGAUUUUUCAAUGUUUCCGCAUUCACUAACAUUACUUUAGGCAAUGUAAGAUAGACAAACCAUACAUAUUUGGAAAUGGUUUACUAAUAUCUAUCAGAAAAUGUAUAAUUUUACUGGGUUUAUGUCAAUUUUCAAA
This is a long non-coding RNA of Dreissena polymorpha, 915 nucleotides long. RefSeq lists it as uncharacterized. Lineage: Eukaryota; Metazoa; Mollusca; Bivalvia; Myida; Dreissenidae. The record is from RefSeq and is a predicted model, not a curated record. The transcript is spliced from 5 exons.